RNAcentral lists this ribosomal RNA (201 nucleotides) under uncultured bacterium. Its description in RNAcentral is "partial 16S ribosomal DNA". It matches the Rfam family "Bacterial small subunit ribosomal RNA", at positions 525 to 725 of the family's 1533-position model. The record is from RNAcentral.
ACGAGGGAUGCAAGCGUUAUCCGGAAUUAUUGGGCGUAAAGCGUCCGCAGGUGGCUCUGUAAGUCUGUCGUUAAAGAAUGGGGCUUAACCCCAUACAGGCGAUGGAAACUACAAGGCUAGAGUUUGGUAGGGGUCACGGGAAUUCCUAGUGUAGCGGUGAAAUGCGUAGAUAUUAGGAAGAACACCAGCGGCGAAAGCGCG